Long non-coding RNA from Solea senegalensis (Senegalese sole), 1315 nucleotides. RefSeq lists it as uncharacterized. Lineage: Eukaryota; Metazoa; Chordata; Actinopteri; Pleuronectiformes; Soleidae. The transcript is spliced from 6 exons. The record is from RefSeq and is a predicted model, not a curated record.
CUAAACCGUGUUGUGCCGUGCCGUGCAGAGCAGAGCUGGUGGAACUACGCCAUUAGAUACACAUUUGUAUCCACACUCCAUACCAAAUGGUGGCGGUAAUGCACCAAAUAGUUGUUUGUUAAAAGCCAUAAAACCUCAAAAAAAGAAGACCCGUUCAGAUGCGAGGCGGGAAACGGCAUACGCCACAGGGCGCGAACACUACAGACGGAGAUAGUGCAGAGACACGUAUUAUCAACAAUGAAAACACAUGAAGCUCACUGCAGAGGCACAAGGUAAUCAUGAACAACAACGAGGGUAGCUGCAAGAGGAAGGAUGUUGUGCUGUGGAGUUUUUAAAUCUCCUGUCCUCCCUCCCAGGACACUCGUCAUUGACCAGGAGGCUAACCUUCUAUUCUCAAGGAUCAAACAUUGUUGCACAAAAAUGAAACGUCUUGACCUUCCAAAACACAAUCCUGCUGUGUAUAUUGGUGUUUUGGAGAUCCACUCUGAGGGGUGACAAUGAUGAGUUGCACUAUUAGUCAGGUUGCUGAUUGCAGUGGCACAGCGGACCUGUCCUGACAACCUGUGUUGACACCCACUGUGCACAGGGGCCAUCUGAGUCACCCACCCCACAUGACAGAAAAGAAUGGGCCACUGUUAAAUGGUUUUUCAUCAUUUACUGACCUACCAUUCUGUUCUUUCUUUUCCCAGUCUGAAGAUGAGAUUUACAGAAGAGUUAGCUGGGGUUGUUUAAGCCUCUGUCAACAUGAUGAACAAAAUGGAUUCUGCCUGCAACCAUUUUCCCUUUCAUAAUGGAUGUCCACCAACUCCAACCUAAGAGCUGCAGCCAGUUGCUGUGGUCACCAAUGACCUAGUUAAGACAGCUUUGAUCAGUGGCCCACUUGAUGUCUCUUGUUCCACUUUGAAACUACAGACAGCCACAUGACCAGAGCCACAGCUGAAGCUCAGCCUGGACCAUCACCUUCUGCAUGUGUCUCCUGUCAUUGUUCCUUGAGCUGCUGCAGUACGAGCAGUAGUAACCCUUUCUGAUGCAGAAAAAACCUUAUUCCUCAAUGUAUUUGCACUAAAGGACUUUCUACAAAUCUUAGUAAGAAAAGUAUUCUAAUCAUAAGAAGCCGUUGGCAAGGGGUAGAUAUUAAUUUUGAAAACUCAAAUUGUUUUGUUCAUUUUAUUGUGAUUGGUCUGGAGUGAAAGUGCACUUUUUUCUUUUUCAGGGAUUAAGUUGUAUUUAAUUUACAUAAACCAAGAGUCUAAGCCUGUGUAUAGAAACAAUUCCUACUGAUUUGGGCUAUAUAAAUAAAAAUAAUAACAAUACA